RNAcentral lists this ribosomal RNA (253 nucleotides) under uncultured bacterium. Its description in RNAcentral is "partial 16S ribosomal RNA". It matches the Rfam family "Bacterial small subunit ribosomal RNA", at positions 524 to 776 of the family's 1533-position model. The record is from RNAcentral.
UACGUAGGGUGCGAGCGUUAAUCGGAAUUACUGGGCGUAAAGCGUGCGCAGGCGGUUAUUUAAGACAGAUGUGAAAUCCCCGGGCUCAACCUGGGAACUGCGUUUGUGACUGGAUAGCUAGAGUACGGCAGAGGGGGGUGGAAUUCCACGUGUAGCAGUGAAAUGCGUAGAUAUGUGGAGGAACACCAAUGGCGAAGGCAGCCCCCUGGGUCGAUACUGACGCUCAUGCACGAAAGCGUGGGGAGCAAACAGG